Molecule: long non-coding RNA, 2101 nt
Organism: Carassius auratus (goldfish)
Lineage: Eukaryota; Metazoa; Chordata; Actinopteri; Cypriniformes; Cyprinidae
Exons: 3
Source: RefSeq, a predicted model, not a curated record
UGAUGACUGCUGUUCCCUGUGUGGCCAGCAGAGGACCGUCUCAUUGCUGGAGCAUCAUGGUCCACUGGAAACACGCCAUCAUAAGAGCCUAACCUAACCUCUAGUUUUUCAGCUUUUGAAGAACACAACAAACAAGCUGAAGAUAUUUUUUUGUGGUAAUCAACAUUAUGACACAAAUGCUGUCGAUUGAACCCAAAAUAACAUGACAGAGAUUUUGAUGUUUUAAUGAUUAUCAGGACAAGAUUAUCAUGUCCAUCAUUUGACCUUUUGUCAGAUCUCGGUGCUGCAAGAUCUCAAGUGCUGCAAAUCUUUAUUAGUGAAUGUAAAAAAACAUAUCAAAAGAAAAAAUGCUGAAGUAAAUUGAGUUUUUAGGAUAUCUGUUAGAACAGAUUUGAACUCAAAGCGCUAUAGGAUGUUGAUCUCCUGGAGCAGCAAAGGGUCCUAAAACAUGCAGAAGCGGCCCUGGAGUAGGGGCAGAACGUCCUUAAUCUGGAACAUGCAGAUAAAAGUACCUUGAAGUGAAGGUUUGCUUGUCGGAGCCUUAUCUUGUUACAAAUUUAUUCAAAUAAGUGGUCAGUCCACUAUGUCUGUCUAGGAUGGAGACUCAGAACAAGGUUGUAUCUGUUGUUCUCUCACUGGAUGAAGACUCUGAAUGUACAAUAUAUGUUUUCUCACAUUUUGAAGGCAGAUCAACAUUUACGAAGAAAAACGAUGUGCAGUUACUAUAACUGUAAUAAAACACAGAUCAGUUAGCUCCUCACUAUCUGAGAUCGUUCGCCGGUUUAAGUGAAACAGAACGCAUCACAUUACACGUCACAUCAUAAUGUCAUGUGUCUUUAUGGGAUCUGUACAGGAUGUGUGUGAAUGCACAAUCACUCGCAGUGUGAAUGAACCAUAAUUAAAUGAUCCCGGACAAAUCAUGGGACACAUCUGCUGUGUAUUUUCCGGAAUUUCUUUGUGAAAGAGGAUCUAGAGAGAAAACACGCUGUGGCAUUGAGAAUAUUCUUCUGAAUAAGCAUGAGAUGGGUUUGUUGGAGUUUGUAUAAGUUUUAAGGUUUGAAAUCCAUUCUGACUAGAUUUGGAUAGGUCUCUGUGAUCUUUCUGUUUCACCCGCCGCUGCUGCACCUGGAGAUUCCUAAGGAAUAUUUGUGCUGGUCACAGGCCAAACUGGCCAGGACUGAGUGAAGAGUUCUUCUUCUUCCCCUCUGAGGUGUCUGCAUGUUGUCCUUGCAUCUUUAUCUGAGGCGAUGUUAGUCCACCAAGAUCCAAUCACAGUGAUGCAAACCUUUGUCCACUGCUGUGGUGAGAGAGACGGGCACUGAGAGGCAACUUGGUAAAGGCAAGUUCACACCAAAGAUAUAAAAGCUGAAACUUCCAAAAGAAAAUGAUCUGCCACGUCCUAACACCAUCUCACUGGAUACAUCAAAGUGGACUUUUUAUAUCUACAUGUAGAGCAUCAGAAAUAGAAGGUGGCAUCUGUUUACUGUGGUCAAGGAGUCACUGAUUAUAAUGGGUCAUGUGACGUGCCGUUCUCAUCUGGUGUAGUAGUGUUAGCUGCCAGUAUACACGGUGUAUCAUGUCCAGCUGCUGAACUUCUCAUCCAAACAACAGAUCGCGUUCAGACACCAUAAAGAAUUAUAUGUUUUUUUUUCUUGGGCUUGUGUGGAAAAAUCAACAUGAAGGCUUUAAGAAUGAUUGUCUGUGGUUGUUUUGAAUGCCAGAUUUCUAUUUUUUUUAAGAGUUUAUUUGAAACUCAUAAAUAUAAUUUAUAUAUUAUAUAUUUAUAUUUUUUUAACAAAUAUAACAAUUUAUAUUAUUAUUUUUUUCCUCCUUGGUAAACUAAUGAUAUUUUAAGUCCAGUCAAAUCAAAUGUCAUUUAGUUACAUGUUUUUAACCUUAUAUAGUAGUUAAUGUAAUAUACACCCCCAUUCAAAAGGAGAUCAGUAAGAUUUUUUUAAUGGUAUGAUAGAAACCUUUUCUGCACAGCGGCAUUUAUUUGAUCAAAAUACCAUAAAAAAUAGUAUCACAUAAUUUCACUAUAUUAUUGUCCAGCAAUUGUAAAAGUCUCUAUAUAAAUAAAUGUGGCCUGAUUUGAUUUAAU